RNAcentral lists this ribosomal RNA (459 nucleotides) under uncultured bacterium. RNAcentral's name for it is "partial 16S ribosomal RNA". It matches the Rfam family "Bacterial small subunit ribosomal RNA", at positions 28 to 507 of the family's 1533-position model. The record is from RNAcentral.
GACGAACGCUGGCGGCGUGCUUAACACAUGCCAGUCGAACGGAAAGGCCCUGCUUGCAGGGUACUCGAGUGGCGAACGGGUGAGUAACACUUGGGUGAUCUGCCCUGCACUUCGGGAUAAGCCUGGGAAACUGGGUCUAAUACCGGAUAGGAGCCAUUUUUAGUGUGAUGGUUGGAAAGUUUUUUCGGUGUAGGAUGAGCUCGCGGCCUAUCAGCUUGUUGGUGGGGUAAUGGCCUACCAAGGCGGCGACGGGUAGCCGGCCUGAGAGGGUGGACGGCCACAUUGGGACUGAGAUACGGCCCAGACUCCUACGGGAGGCAGCAGUGGGGAAUAUUGGACAAUGGGCGAAAGCCUGAUCCAGCAAUGCCGCGUGAGUGAUGAAGGCCUUAGGGUUGUAAAGCUCUUUUACCCGGGAUGAUAAUGACAGUACCGGGAGAAUAAGCUCCGGCUAACUCCGUG